This 253-nucleotide ribosomal RNA is filed under the name uncultured bacterium. RNAcentral describes it as "partial 16S ribosomal RNA". It matches the Rfam family "Bacterial small subunit ribosomal RNA", at positions 524 to 776 of the family's 1533-position model. The record is from RNAcentral.
UACGGGGGGGGUAAGCGUUGUUCGGAAUUACUGGGCGUAAAGGGCUCGUAGGCGGCCAACUAAGUCAUACGUGAAAUCCCUCAGCUUAACUGGGGAACUGCGUCUGAUACUGGAUGGCUUGGAUCCGGGAGAGGGAUGCGGAAUUCCAGGUGUAGCGGUGAAAUGCGUAGAUAUCUGGAGGAACACCGGUGGCGAAGGCGGCAUCCUGGACCGGUAUUGACGCUGAGGAGCGAAAGCCAGGGGAGCAAACGGG